Molecule: non-coding RNA, 725 nt
Organism: Trematomus bernacchii (emerald rockcod)
Lineage: Eukaryota; Metazoa; Chordata; Actinopteri; Perciformes; Nototheniidae
Source: the annotation of a RefSeq genome assembly
AGAGGUGAUCAGCGGCUGUCCAGACCUUUCAGAGCCACUGACACACCGGCAGCACAAUGAUGAUGUCACUGACUCUACUGCUGGCCACCCUGGGGCUCCUUGUUCAGGAUUCAUCAGGAGAAAUCCUCCUGACUCAGUCUCCUGGAUCUCUGUCUGUUGUUCCAGGACAGACUCUUUCUAUCAAAUGUACAGCCAGUACAAGUGUUGGUGGAUGCCUUAACUGGUACCUUCAGAAACCUGGAGAAGCUCCUAAACUCUUGGUAUAUCAUGCUACAUCUCUUCAGUCUGGAGUUUCAAAUCGUUUCAGUGGAAGUGGAUCUGGGACUGUCUACACUCUGACCGUCACUGGAGUUCAGACUGUAGAUGCAGGAGAUUAUUAUUGUCAGCAGUGUAGCAGCCGGCCGUUCACACAGUGAUACAACGUCGUACAAAAACCUCCUCAAAUAAAGAGGAAGUGAUCUGAAUGAACAACUGCACAGAAAAGAAAAUAACUAUAAGAUUCAUUAACUAACAUUUUUUAAUGUAAUACCACAACAGCACUUUCAGCAUUCAAAAGAUUUGAAUAUUUCAGUUAAAAAUAGUUUUACAAUUUCUUUGUGAUUUGUGAGUACCAAAAGGUUUGCUAACAGCUUUAAUAGCCACUCUAUAACAUUGGCCCUAAUAACUGUCAACCCCAAGUGACAUUAUAGCACAUAUUUAAUAAACUAAUGUAGAUUUUGUAUAAA